RNAcentral lists this long non-coding RNA (377 nucleotides) under Mus caroli (Ryukyu mouse). RNAcentral describes it as "lncRNA (MGP_CAROLIEiJ_G0004880.1)". The record is from RNAcentral. Lineage: Eukaryota; Metazoa; Chordata; Mammalia; Rodentia; Muridae.
CUGUGGGAAUCUCAGCAAGGGUUGGAGAACCAGUUCCAUCUUGGCACAGUGCCAAAAGGAAGGCUUUGAGCAAGUCACCAGCACUUAGGAUCUUCUCAUGAGCUUGCAGAGGAGCUGAGCUCUUGGCUAGUGGGGGAAGGUCAGUCUGGUGAACAACAGGCUGUGCUGGGUAUCAAAUCACAAAAUCAGACCACUUGACUCCUAAUAUCAACAAUGGAUGGGACCUCUCAGAGGAAAAGGUGAAGUCAAACAGAUCAGCAAGACAGAUCCGAACUACCAGACGCUGACAUCACCCCUAAUGUUCUGCAGUUUUCUCAGACCCCUCUUCUACCUAACACUCACUUAUCAAAGUCAAUAUUAAAACCACCUGAUGACAA